Molecule: RNA transcript, 3389 nt
Organism: Capsicum annuum
Lineage: Eukaryota; Viridiplantae; Streptophyta; Magnoliopsida; Solanales; Solanaceae
Gene name: filament-like plant protein
Exons: 6
Source: RefSeq, a predicted model, not a curated record
AAACCUCAGAUACUAAUUUCAAAACAAACAAAAAUAAAAUAAAAAAGAAAGCUUAGAAAAAAGGUGCAGUGAAAAAAGUGCAAUUUGUGCAGCGUUUCCAUUCUGCAUCACAUGCGCUCUGCGUCCUUUACGUUAUUCAAAAACAACCAUUUUAAAAAUGGCAAAAAAAUAAAAAAUAGAGUAUUCUUUCCUCAGAGUUAUUGUUAUCUAAACACUUCCACGGAUAUUCUACACAUCUUUGGCUUAAUUGGUUCUGCAUUCUCAUUUCUUAACACCUAUUAAAGCCAAUCUCUUGUUUCUUUCAUAUUUAUUAUUAUUGGUUCAAAAUUUCAAUAUUUGAUUUUCUUGAUCCACAUUCAGGUGUGUUUUAUCUGUCUUUGUCUUUUCUAACCAAUUGAUAUAGAGAAAUGUUUGUCUUGAGCCGCGUUCUAUCGAAAACAGUCUCUCUACUUCAUCGAAGAUAAUGGCAUGCACUGCAUACAUUUUACCCCCAGACCCCACUAAGUGUGAAUACACUGGGUACGCCGUUGUUGUUGUGGAUAUAGAGAAAUGUAGGGUAAGAUUAUGUGCAAUAGACCAUUUGACAGUGAUGAAGCCACAAAUUUCAUUAAUCGGUGUUUAAAAUUUAAUAUCUAUGUAUGAAAGAUAAAUUUUGAUCUACAUAUUUCCUAUGAUUUUCUAUGUGUGUAUAUAUAUGUGUGUGUGAUUUUUUGAUGAAGGAAGGAUGUUUGACUGUCUACCCUUCACUACAUGUGAGUGCUUGUGAUCCACCGUUCUAAAGUUCAAGUUUUUUUUGGAGGAUUUGAUGGAUUCUGUUAGAUGGGUAUUUUUUGUUUUGUUAUUUGAGUAAUGGGAUUUUUGCUUUGUUGAGAUGUUUAUUUUUUUUGGUUCUGUUUUGGUAUGUUUGGUAUCAAUACACUUUUGUUAGUGGGGUGGAUUUGAAGGAAAGCUGAAAGAAUGUGAAGCCAAGUUAUCUUUGUUGUUGAAUGACCGUGGUCAUUGGUAAUGAACUUGUAGGAGAUUUAGUUGGUUAUUGAGAUCGAUGGACAAGAGGAAUUGGUUGUGGAAAAAGAGACCUUCUGAGAAAAGCAUUGGUGAAACUGAGAGUUCUGGUUCACUCUCUUCACAUUCAGAAAGACACUCUGAUGAGCAGGAUCCGUUAAAAGAAAUUCCAGAAAAUGACAACCAAUCACCAGAAGUGACCUCAAAAGCAGCAACUAUUGAUAAUGAAGCCAAGGAAAGUCCAAAGAAGUUGAUAGAAAAGUUAUCAGCUGCUCUAGUUAAUGUUAGUGCUAAAGAAGACUUAGUUAAGCAGCAUGCUAAAGUGGCAGAAGAAGCUGUUGCAGGUUGGGAAAAGGCAGAAAAUGAGGUUACAAUUCUAAAGCAGCAACUUGAGGCAGCUGUGCAGCAAAACUUGACUUUAGAUGUUCGUGUCAACCAUCUUAAUGGUGCUCUCAAGGAAUGUGUCAGGCAAUUGAGACAAGCUAGAGAUGAGCAGGAGCAAAGAAUUCAAAACGCUGUGGUAGAGAAGGAAAAAGAAUGGGAGUCUGAAAGAGCUGCACUUGCAAAUCAGCUAUAUGAGCUGCGGACACAAGCAGAGGCUAGUAGAACUGGUUCUCCUGUUUCUACUGAUCUGAAUGUUCUUCUCAGGCUUGAGUAUCUAGAGAAGGAGCGCACAGCUCUCAAACUUGUCCUUUCUUCUCAUUCAGAGGAGUUGCAAAUUAGGACCAUAGAGAGGGACUUGAGCAACCAAGCAGCGGAAACUGCUAGCAAACAGCAGCUAGAGAGCAUAAAGAAGGUGGCCAAGCUUGAAGCUGAAUGUCGAAGACUACAAGCUUUGGCUCGCAAAUCAUCCCUACUCAGUGACCAAAGGUCCUCUGCUGUUUCAUCUCUUUGUGUUGAGUCCAUCACCAAUAGUCAAUGCAGCAGUGGGAAGCGACUGAGGACUGUCGACACUGAUAGCCACAUGAUGAGCAAGCGUGAAACAAGUGAAUGCCAGCGAAGUUGCUCUGAUUCAUGGGCAUCAGCACUAAUUGCUGAGCUCGAUCAAUUUGAGCAUGAAAAUGGUAUGCCUAAAACUCUUGCCGCCCUGUCUUUGGAAAUUGACAUGAUGGAUGACUUCUUGGAGAUGGAGAGACUUGCUGCAAUAUCUGAAACUGUGAAUAAUGCCUCUUCACUUGCGUCUGAUGCUAUUGCUGAUGACUCAUCUAGUGAAGAGAAUCCCAUGGCUGCAGAACGUGAGACCAUUUCGCAAAGGGUGGCUGAAUUAGAGCAAAAGCUGGAGAAAAUUGAAGCCGAGAAAUCUGAGCUGGAGAAUGCUGUACGUGAGAGCCAAGACGCCCUUAUGGUGUCUGAUUUGCAGCUUAAGGAAGCUCAACUCAAGUUGGAAAAGCUGCAGAAGGAGCUAAAUGAAGUGAAUGAAUCAAAAGAGUUGCUUGAGUUUCAACUCUUUGGCAUGGAAGUAGAAUCACGGACUAUGUCUGCGAACAUUCAUUCUUUAAAGACAGAAGUUGAAAGAGAACGAUCAUUGUCAUCUGAUAUGGAAAUUAAGUGCCAGGAAUUGGAAAAUGAACUAAGAAGAAAAUCCAAAGAAUUCGAACUUCAGCAAACUUCUAGUUCAAAUAGCGAAUCGAAAAUAAAGCAGGAAGAUUUAGCUGUAGCUGCUGACAAGCUUGCAGAAUGCCAGAAAACAAUUGCAUCUCUUGGGAAGCAGCUUCAGUCACUAGCCACUUUAGAAGAUUUCUUGAUUGACACAGCAAGUCUUCCUGGAUUUUCUGGGGGAGGAUCAGUUGUGACUGGAGCUAGUGGAGAGGAAUGCAAGUUACACGUAACUGAGACAUUUAGCCCAAAGCGCAAUUCAGAUAAUGCAAAGAUUGAGAAUUAUAGUCAUUCUAUGAACGGAAAUGAAGGAGAAUCAUCCUCUUCUUCAUCAUCAUCAUCUACUCAAGUGACAACUUCCAAAAGUAGAAAUGGUUUUGGAAAGUUGUUUUUUCGAAGCAAGAGUGGAAUUCAGCUCUAAAAUGAAACAGUUGAUUUGAGUCCUAAACUUAAAAGGGAUAUGGCUAGAGGAAAGCCGAGAGGUCGAUUUCAGUGAAGAUUCAUAUAGCAGAUUGUAACUUUCUUGAGAUUGAGGAAUCAUUGUUGCCUAUCAUAUUUUCAUAUGGUUAUAGGCAUGAUGCGAUGCUUGCUACGAUCCGGUCACUCAAUUUGACACACAGGUGAUACGGCGCAUGCAAGAGUUAUGAUAAUUGAAGUGCUUACUUGUGCACGUCAAAGUUGUAGGGGCAUAGAUGUCAGUCGGGCCAAAUUAAAGGAUAUGUUCUUGUAAUGCCUUAUAUGAAGACGGUGUGAUGUAUUCUCUGUUGUCGACGAGCUUUACAAAUCUAUUU